Molecule: ribosomal RNA, 306 nt
Filed under: Triticum aestivum (bread wheat)
Lineage: Eukaryota; Viridiplantae; Streptophyta; Magnoliopsida; Poales; Poaceae
Description: partial small subunit ribosomal RNA
Source: RNAcentral
AUGUACAAUGAUAGUCCACAUGCGGCACAUGAUUAUUUUAGUGCUUUUCACAGUAGUGAAGGCACAUCACAAGGGUAUGAUCCUCGACGUGGAAGAGCAAGAUACUUGGACUAUGGUGCAAUGCCAAUCACUAUUGGUAUCCUACCAGCACCUGAAGUUGGCUCAUCUUUCUUGUCUGGACAUUCUGCUUAUAGUGCGCUUGAUUCGAGAGAAGCCAAAAGGGUGAGGCUGGAUGCUGGCAUCGACCCUUACCAUGUAAGGGCAGGCAUUGAGGGUCUUCAUCCAGGUCGGGCAGCUUAUUUUUAA